GAUGAACGCUGGCGGCGUGCCUAAUACAUGCAAGUCGAGCGAACGGACGAGAAGCUUGCUUCUCUGAUGUUAGCGGCGGACGGGUGAGUAACACGUGGAUAACCUACCUAUAAGACUGGGAUAACUUCGGGGAACCGGAGCUAAUACCGGAUAAUAUUUUGAACCGCAUGGUUCAAAAGUGAAAGACGGUCUUGCUGUCACUUAUAGAUGGAUCCGCGCUGCAUUAGCUAGUUGGUAAGGUAACGGCUUACCAAGGCAACGAUGCAUAGCCGACCUGAGAGGGUGAUCGGCCACACUGGAACUGAGACACGGUCCAGACUCCGACGGGAGGCAGCAGUAGGGAAGCUUCCGCAAUGGGCGAAAGCCUGACGGAGCAACGCCGCGUGAGUGAUGAAGGUCUUCGGAUCGUAAAACUCUGUUAUUAGGGAAGAACAUAUGUGUAAGUAACUGUGCACAUCUGGGCGGUACCGAAUCAGAAAGCCACGGCUAACUACGU
Molecule: ribosomal RNA, 496 nt
Filed under: uncultured bacterium
Lineage: Bacteria
Description: partial 16S ribosomal RNA
Rfam family: Bacterial small subunit ribosomal RNA
Source: RNAcentral